Molecule: ribosomal RNA, 253 nt
Filed under: uncultured bacterium
Lineage: Bacteria
Description: partial 16S ribosomal RNA
Rfam family: Bacterial small subunit ribosomal RNA
Source: RNAcentral
UACAGAGGGUGCGAGCGUUAAUCGGAAUUACUGGGCGUAAAGCGCACGUAGGUGGCGACGUAAGUCGGGUGUGAAAGCCCCGGGCUCAACCUGGGAAUUGCAUUCGAGACUGCAUUGCUGGAGUACGGAAGAGGAAGGCGGAAUUCCCGGUGUAGCGGUGAAAUGCGUAGAUAUCGGGAGGAACAUCAGUGGCGAAGGCGGCCUUCUGGACGAUGACUGACGCUGAGACGCGAAAGCGUGGGGAGCAAACAGG